RNAcentral lists this ribosomal RNA (253 nucleotides) under uncultured bacterium. Its description in RNAcentral is "partial 16S ribosomal RNA". It matches the Rfam family "Bacterial small subunit ribosomal RNA", at positions 524 to 776 of the family's 1533-position model. The record is from RNAcentral.
UACGUAGGGGGCGAGCGUUGUCCGGAAUCAUUGGGCGUAAAGCGCGUGUAGGCGGCUUGGUAAGUCCGGUGUGAAACCUUGGGGCUCAACCCCAAGCCUGCACUGGAUACUGCCUCGCUUGAGUCCGGGAGGGGAGAGCGGAAUUCCUAGUGUAGCGGUGAAAUGCGCAGAUAUUAGGAAGAACACCGGUGGCGAAGGCGGGUCUCUGGACAGUUCCUGACACUGAGGCACGAAGGCCAGGGGAGCAGACGGG